This 460-nucleotide ribosomal RNA is filed under the name uncultured bacterium. RNAcentral describes it as "partial 16S ribosomal RNA". It matches the Rfam family "Bacterial small subunit ribosomal RNA", at positions 338 to 795 of the family's 1533-position model. The record is from RNAcentral.
CCUACGGGAGGCAGCAGUGAGGAAUAUUGGUCAAUGGGCUUACGCCUGAACCAGCCAAGUCGCGUGAGGGAAGACUGCCCUAUGGGUUGUAAACCUCUUUUGUCAGGGAGCAACGCCGGCUACGUGUAGCCGGACUGAGAGUACCUGAAGAAAAAGCAUCGGCUAACUCCGUGCCAGCAGCCGCGGUAAUACGGAGGAUGCGAGCGUUAUCCGGAUUUAUUGGGUUUAAAGGGUGCGUAGGCGGAAUGCCAAGUCAGCGGUAAAAUCGCGGGGCUCAACCUCGCUCCGCCGUUGAAACUGGCGUUCUUGAGUACAGUAGAGGUGGGCGGAAUUCGUGGUGUAGCGGUGAAAUGCUUAGAUAUCACGAAAAACUCCGAUUGCGAAGGCAGUUCACUGGACUGCAACUGACACUGAGGCUCGAAAGUGUGGGUAUCAAACAGGAUUAGAUACCCUGGUAGUC